RNAcentral lists this microRNA precursor (279 nucleotides) under Medicago truncatula (barrel medic). Its description in RNAcentral is "MIR2655 microRNA precursor family". It matches the Rfam family "MIR2655 microRNA precursor family". Lineage: Eukaryota; Viridiplantae; Streptophyta; Magnoliopsida; Fabales; Fabaceae. The record is from Rfam by way of RNAcentral.
CCCUUAACCAUUAAAAGUUUCGUUUUGGUCCCUUAACUUAUUUUUUGGUUUCGUUUUGGUCCCUUAACUCUUCCUCCGUCAACCACUUUGGUCCUUUAUGUUAGGAUGAAUGUAUUAGAGUUAAGGUACCAAAAUGAAACCAAAAAAUAAGUUAAGGGACCAAAACGAAACCAAAAAAUAAGUUAAUGGACCAAAAAGAAACUUUUAAUAGUUAAAGGACCAAAAGAAAACCCAGAAAUAAGUUAAGGGACCGAAAUGAAACUUUUAAUAGUUAAGGGG